RNAcentral lists this ribosomal RNA (245 nucleotides) under uncultured bacterium. RNAcentral describes it as "partial 16S ribosomal RNA". It matches the Rfam family "Bacterial small subunit ribosomal RNA", at positions 524 to 768 of the family's 1533-position model. The record is from RNAcentral.
UACGUAGGCGGCGAGCGUUAUCCGGAUUUAUUGGGCGUGCAGAGGGUGUAGGUGGCUUUGCAAGUCGGGCGUGAAAUCUCUCGGCCUAACUGAGAGAGGUCGUCCGAUACUGCGGGGCUAGAGGACAGCAGAGGGAGGUGGAAUUCCCGGUGUAGUGGUGAAAUGCGUAGAUAUCGGGAGGAACACCAGUGGCGAAAGCGGCCUCCUGGGCUGUCCCUGACGCUGAGGCCCGAAGGCGCGGGGAG